Molecule: non-coding RNA, 730 nt
Organism: Chlorocebus sabaeus (green monkey)
Lineage: Eukaryota; Metazoa; Chordata; Mammalia; Primates; Cercopithecidae
Source: RefSeq, a predicted model, not a curated record
GUAGAGACAAGGUCUUGCAAUGUUGCCCAGGCUGGUCUCAAAGUCUUGAGCUCAAGCAGUCUUCCUGCCUCGGCCUCCUAAAAUGUUGUAAUUACAGGUGUGAGUUACCACACCUUGCCUGAGUUGAUCUUCUAUAAGAGUUCAAACAAAAAACAGACCACACGAAGAUGAUCACUUCAAACAUGAGGAUGGGAAUAUGCUGACGUUAGACACAGGGUUGGUGUGAGACCUACAGAAAAUACAUAUAAAGCGUCAGACAUGAAGUCCAGCACAUAGUAGGUGUUGAAUAAAUGGCAGUGAGUGGUCAUGUCCGGAAAUGGAGCCAAGAAGUUGAGCCUGGACUACUAAGAAUCUGGCCUGAAGACCCAGGAGGCGGAGCUUGCAGUGAGCUGAGAUUGUGCCACUGCACUCCAGCCUGGGCGACAGAGCAAGACUCCGUCUCAAAAAAAAAAAAAAAAAAAAAAAAAAAAGAAUCUGGCCUGAAGAAUUUCAAAAAGGAAAAUGGUUCUCCCUGAUAACAAAUAGUGAUGAGUAAAACCUGACAAAUUACAUUUGCCUCCCCCAAAUAUGUAAGCUUGGAAUCAACUCGGUGGUUUUCUUCAGAGAAAAGCUGUUUCAUGUCUGCCUCCCACAUUUAAUUCUCCAACAUCUUCCCGAAAUUAUUUCAGAAUGAAAUGAGGUAGCAUACUUGAGGUUAAAUUCAAUAAAAAAUAUCUGAAGCAUAAAAAUA